GGAUCUAAAUACGCUGUUGUGCAGCCCUUGGACUGGAACUGAGACUGUGCACUGCACAGAAUAAACAUCAGCCAAAAGGAGUUUAGUACCUAAGUGCCUCCAAGUACCCUGGAUUUCCAGGGGAUAACAACAACCGCACACAAGCAGCUCUGUUUGAGCACCGUCACAGAAACUUCAGGGGCCUCUUCUAGUGAAUGCAUUUACAAAUGACAUGCUCCAAGUCCAGAUUUGAUCUCUUGGCUUCUGAAGCUACCAAUUGCUGUAAUGCAGUGAUAAUUCUGAGCUGGUCACGAGGCUAACACAGUGGGAGCAGUACGGGAACAGGGCAGGGCUGUAGUUUGGGUCGAGCCCUAAAUAUCUUUAAGCCUUGCAGCUGUGUCUGUUCUGUAAGUCCAGGAGCAGAGUAAAGGAGCCUGCACUAAGUGUUGCUCCAAGUGCUUAGGCUUCUUGCUCCUCCUAGCACCGUGGUGUGAUGCUGCCCUGGGCAGCAGAGGCACCUGGCUGCUCCUGCCGACAGCAGCUAACGAGCGACAAGGUGACGAGGGUCAGCGGCAGCAAAUGCAAGGGCAGGGCUCCCAGCAGGCAGGGGCAUGAACCCGAAUCAAGGUCAAGAGAGUGCCUUGGUGUCACAGCUUAUUCUGCUCAUCUUAUUCGUGGAAAAGCUGUGCUUAAUGUUGAAGUGAUUAAAGAAUAAUUUAGCUUGAUGCGGAAGCAUCAUUCAACAAAAACAAAGGCAGUUUAGCUAAAAUUGGUUUGAAAAUGCUCAUUAAUUAAGCUCAUGUAAAUCUGCGUAGAUGUGGGCUUGCUAACACUCUUUUCCCCCCUCUUCUUAUCUAAAUGUGACUAAUUAUUUGUCUAAUUAUGAUGUAAUUGUGUGGCCUUGGGAUCACUGAUUACAGAUGCGCUUCCUUUUCUCCCUGCUUUGUCUGAAUCCAAGCGGAAGAUGGGAUGCUCUGCUGGGAUGUGCUGCUGCUCCUUUUGGCUGCAGUCUUGACCUUAAAAAAAAGAGAAGAAAAAAGCAGAAAGCUGCUCCCUUUUCGUCACAGCCUCUAUAAUGAAUUGCCGUGUACAAAGCCGGUCAUACAAUACGCAGCAGCAGCACGGAGCGAGAAUCUUUGGGAAGAGUUUCCAUAGAAACACUGACGUCCUCCUGGCGAACAGGACACCGAGUUCCUUCAAUGGGAGAGUCUGCGGUGGCCGGCAGAGUCCCCCAGAGGAGACAGCAGAGCUGGUGAGUAAUAAGGAUAACUGAUGUUUUUCCAAGUCAAAACCAGCCUGACUCACCACUAUUUUGUUUCUUUUAUUGUUAUUUGUAUUGCUCUGAUGCCAGACAUCAGAUCUCAGUUAUUGAGCCCAGAGUUUUAUCGCUGUAUAACAGGAGAAAGUGCCCUCUGAAAUGCUUCCAGACUAAAUCAGUAGGAGGGGAAAAAAGGAAAAGCAAAACAGCUCUCGCACUGCUGCCCUGUGAUUUGGGCCUAAAAACCCUCUUCUGCCCUGCUCCUGAGCAAGCACCCUCACUUACCCAUUGUGGCAUAUUUUUCAGCUGGCUUUGCAAACACUUAGGUUUGUAAGUCAUUGAUGCUGUGCAGUUUUCCAAAUCAGAGACCUGCUCAGAGCCCAUGUCCCUGGACCCCUGGUGCUCUAGCACUCGCUGCCUGCAGGGGCUGCUCAUAGCAGCACCAUUCUACCGAGGUCUUGGUCUGAGGGCACCUGAGACUGAAGCAUGGCUGCAGAAAAGGAGCAGAAGGUAGAUCCACCACAGACAGAGCUCUGGCCCUGCUGUCCUACAGCAAGUGGCACAGCCUUGGACAGCCACUGCCUGUCCUCUGUUAGGUGAGGUCAGUGUUCCUGGGCAGGGAUGCCAUGAACAUGUCUCUCUGGGGCUGGUAUAUAACAUGGAAAUGUCUCUCUCAAGCCAGUGUCUAGCAUGGGAUAAGCAUCAGGCUGUCUGUGAUAUCCAUCAGCCUCUUGAGGUUUUUGUGACACCCCAGGUGUUACCAUUGCAGGGAGCAGUCAUGCUCACUAUUGCAUCUGUCAAAGCAGAAGACAUCUAUCUAUACCUUGAAAGUCUUCAUCCUUACCCCUAGGAUUUUAAUAAAAUAUAAGGCCCUGCAUCUGGUAGCAUCAAUAGAAGCAGAACUAUUCCCAGAUACAGACAGAGAAAUACGUGUACAAACAGAGGGAACCUAGAUGUAAGAGAGACAAAAGCUGGCUGGAAGAUCAAUGCAGGAAAGAUUUGUGAAAGGUCUGGGCUUUAAUGGGAUGAGUAGGAUGGGACUUGGCAUACAUCAAAGCUAUUAGGAGCAACACAGAAAAACUUGAGAUUUGGACAGUGAGAAGAGGCAGAGGACAGCUGGAAGAGGAGGCUGGGAGGACAGCAUGUGGAGGAGGCUGUUUUAGCUUGUGUGCACCACUGGAAGAGUGAAGGCAGCUGCAAAGCCUGGUCAAAUGUUGGAAGAAGACAAUGUAUAUAUGAGAGCAAGAGAACAGGGUCGCCCAGCAGCAGGGCAGGAGGCAGGGCAAGGUGGUGUUUUGGCCAAUCUCAGCUUGCGUCUUGGCUUGGGAAAGCAUGCCUGGCAUUUUUGUCAGCGGUGUCUCUUGAAAUAAAUCACCACCCGCUCUGGAGACUUGUGCCUGUGUCUUGAGACAAUUAUUGCUUUCUUCUAGCCUGGGCUGUGUAAAAAUGCAUUGCUUCUCGUUGUGAGAAAUUCUCAUCUCCUUCUGUCAGUCAUCUUGUCUCAGCAGGGAAAAAAAUCCCCAAACCCUGUCAUAUCAGAAAAUGAGAAAAUUAUCAAUAUCUACAGUGUAUGUGAAAAAUAUGAGCUCUUUCUCUAUUUGGGAGAAUGGAUCUCGGUUGUAAAAUGUUAUAAAUGUUAGCAGCUUCUCAGACAUUCAAAAAUGUUAAUGAUCCUAUGGUACGAAAAUAGCUUGCCAUAGAGUUCUCUAUAUUACAAAUACUGUCUUGCCCGCUGCAGCCACCUAAAAGACUAUCCAGGAUGAAUGGCCCUAUGUGUUGCUUUAUGUAUUCAGAAAGCAGAGUCAGGAUUAGGACGUUCAUGCAGACACAACAGGCUCUGAUGACUGCCUGCAUAUCUGGAGUGAGGAUCGAGCUUCGGUGCCUGCGAUCAGGUUAAUAAAUACUAUCGCCUUCCUCCCCCUGAGCGUAGGAAUAAAAACCACCUGACAACAGCUGUAUCUCUGAAUUGGAGCCCGUCAGUGGAGGAAAUCUCUGCUUCAGCCAGCUCCCCAUGAGGAACCUGGGGCAGCUCCUUCCCCGCUUCAGGCUGCCAGCUCGGCGGGCACAGCUCGCCUCCUUUGGGUGCCCGCAGCUCCUGCCUACGUGCACCUCCGGCGGCUCUGCAGGACCGCGGCUCUGAGUCACAUCCCCAGGCAUGCAGAGGAGUGGUUUAAUUCUAUUCCAAACCCAAAUUUAUUAGCGCUACCUGGAAUCACAGGUUUGAGUCUUGGCACCUGCGAAGGCGGCUGGCUUGAGGCCUGUGUGGAGGAACCUUCGCUGCUUCUACGGCACUCCUGUGGUAGGGCUCACAAUUAUAUUUGAAUUUGUUCUGCUUUUUCCUUUUCAAAUAUUUGUCCCUUUUGCUUUUGUGAGCCAUCGAUUGUUUUGUUUCCCCACCAGAUUAGUUUAUUCCUCUCACUGGAAGCUUUGGGCUUUUGCAGCUGAAUAGAACCCGGGAGACCUGAGCGUGAGGACUGAAGACAGAGCACAACACAAAAAGGGCAGCGGGUGCUCAGCAGACACCACAAACCACUUAAAACGUCUUUUGUUUAUUAGCUAUUGUUCGGUUAAAUAUAGCACCUGCAGCUGGAACAAUAGGCAGUGGCAGAGGACGGGCUUUGUGUGCACAGGGACUAUCACCGGGCGCCGAGGCGAGGCCUCAGCGCAUUAGGCCGCAGGCAGAGUGCAGCGGAUUUGCCUGGAAAGCCCCCGUAAUGCCAUUAUAAGCGGCCCAUUAGCAGAGCUACCGAGGAGACUGCAUAAACGAUGUCUAUCUCGUUGCUGCGAGCCUGCGGCGGGGAAGGUUUAUUUAACCAAUUUGGCACAGGGAAGGUGGACGUUGGUGGGGCCCUGGAGCCAUGGGAUGGCGGAUGGUGCUGGGGGAGAUGGGUCCAAGGCACCCAAAUGGGCCACCCACUCCUCUUCCUCCCCUUCCUCCCAUGGUGGUCCCUGAGGAGAGGCUUUCCCCCUGCAGAUCCAUCCCCACACGGCCUGAUAUAUCCCCAUCCCAUCCCAGCUGGUGUUGUGUUGCGUUGUGCCUGCCCUGCUCCUGGGCUUCCUGCGGCACAAAAACAGGGCGUUUUCAGACACUUAAGCAUGUGUUUCCUCAAAACUUGUGGUGGGACUCUAAAGGGAGCUACUGUGCGCAUGAAGCCAUCCAAAGCUUUUCGGAUUCCCCAGCUGAAUGAAAUGUGAAUGUGGGUUUUGUUGUUGUUGUGUUGUUUUUCUUUUUCCGCCAUUAAUUUCCUCUGUUCCGAAGCAGAACUGAGCUUUCUGAUAUAAUUAGCCUUCCUUUCCCAAAGAAAUAUAAUGGUUUUGAAAAAUUGCCUGCAUUUUAUACACCCAACAUCUGGAUUUGGUAAAAAUUCUGAAACUUCUUUAACGCUACUUGCGGUCUAGAGGAAGGGAGGGCGAUAUUUAGUUGAUGAUCUUUGCCCUCGUUUUUAAGAAAAAAAAAAAACAAGCCAUCAAUUCAGCUGCUGGCAAUUGAAAAAGCAGUUAGGCUGAACUCUCUUUUAAGUGAACAAACACUUAACGGAUCUAUUUAUACCUGCCCUGAAGCAGACUACUGUAGGUGGAAAUGCUGUAAUUAUUUCCUUUCCCUGCUUUCUACUGUCCUAUAAAGAUCUCCUGGAGCAGCUUGUUAACAAGUUACUGCUGUACAUGGGUGAAAUUAAAAUCAAACCCAGGUUAACAACAAAACCAAUUUGCCUAAAAAUGACUAGAACUAGCUGUAACAAAGGUGAGACAUGCUUGAAGGCUGCUAAGAGACAGCUUCUGUUGCUUAGCCCCAUCUAUCUAAGAAGGCUGAGAACUACAAAUGAUAAGUGUUUGGCAGUUGAGGGGGGACCGGGACCUGAUUAGUAGUGAUGAGGGGAUGCAACAAUUCUUUUUUCCCCCGUGUUUUUUUUUUUCCCAUCAGUGCAUAUUUUCAAUUAAAUUUCCCUCCCAAGGAGUCCCUCUCCUUGAUUAUCUUCCUGCUUUUCUCCCUUCUCCUAUUCCCUGGGUUUAUUUCCAGAGGAGAUGAUCUCUUCCAUUCACCGCCCAGGUUAACUCUAGUUUCAGCAGCAAGGAUCGUUUAAGCUACAAAAAGCUUUUACUGAGUCCAUGUUACAGCCUGGGAGUUGUAAGGGAGUUGUAACCCAGGAGUGUCUGGUCACCAGACAGCAUCUCCAGCUGCCUCUGGGCUGGCGUGUCGGGGCUGCGUGCAUUCCUGUACUCUCAGUACGAUGGCCCCAAGCCAUUAUGCUUCAUAUCAAGUCAGGAGGGUCACGGACUAGAUUACAGCUGGUUAUGGUCCAGGUGGGAGGUGCCGAUGAAACAGGGGGAAAAAAAAUCGUUAACGCUCAGCAUGGCAGCCUGUUCCGUGAAGUAAUUUUUAAUCUGGAAAAUGAAUGGAAAAUGAAGUUGUUGUUUUUUAAGUGCCCAUAGAUUUUUAGCACUCUGUGUUGCUAUGGGUUAUUAGGAAUGGCUAGUGGUAAUAUUUACUAUUGUCUUCUGUGAUUACAGAGUCCAAAUUAUUCAGUUAUAUGAAAUAAGCUCUAUACUGUUUAGAACUAUGAAGGGUUGCCUUUUAGUUCAAGCAACAAGAAAUGAUGCUUCUGGAGCAAGGGGAUGGCUGUGCUGCAAGUCCUGCUGCUACAAAUUUCUGCCCCCCUUGAGGCACAAGGGGACAGGAUCUGUGAGUUACAAACAGACGGUGCAUCUCUAAGAGCCUGAAUAGAGCUGGAUGUGCUGAGUGCCUUAGUGACACCCUAAAUGUGUAACAGCAUCGCUCCUUUGGGAAGAUGGCAGGCUGCUGGGAGGAAGGAACCAUGAGUUGGCUGUGGGGAGGGCAGCAGCGAGUCCCCAAGGAGGGAGUCCUAGCAGAGAUAUCAAAAUCCUCACUAUGCCUCAAAAACAAAUAGACUGUCUUGAUAGCAGGAGAUGCACAAAAAAAAAAAAAAAAAAAAAAAAAGGUAGCGAUUCAGUGAAUUUUUACUGCAGUGUAUUUUGGAAGAUUUGCCAGAUGGCUGGCAGCAAGACUUUUAAACUCUGACUUCUUUUCUGAGCCAGCCAUAUUAUCAUCCAUCAGACAGUCACUUUGGACUGACAUUGCAGAGUGUGGCUGUCUCCUUUAGGUUUGCCUUGCUCCUGUUUAUUUCUAGCUGAUUUAUUUAUAUCUGGAACUGAUACAAGUGGCACAAUUUCUUUGUUUCAUUAAAAGAUUCCUUGAUCUAAACUUUAAAAGAUUUGUCUACAGAGAGAUCAAAGUCAACCAAGCGUAUGUUUUGCAUCCCUGAGUUUUUCUGACAUUCCAGUCUUCAGGUAAAUCUGGAAAAGACAUUUUGCUGCAGAGUAGUAAGCGGUGUUGAUGAGGUUAAUGCAGAGCUGAUCACCGAAUUGUUGCGUACUAAUGUGUGCCUCUUGUCCAGGCUUCUUAAUUAUUAUUUUCUAAGAGGUGAAACAGUGUUGACAGAGCUUAAACUAUCAAACAUUUGUCAAGGUAAAACUGAGAGCCAAAUGCAAGCAUGGAAAAUUACAUCCCACUGCCCAGCAACUCACAAUCAAGCACGUAAAAUACGAUUUGCACAGCUGAACGGAGGCAUUGUCAGGGUGCUCACCAAGGAGCCGAGCACUCCUGAACUUGAUCUGCCACAACCUGUGGCUUACUCCUGGGAAAAUUGCAUGCAGCUCAUUCUCUAUAAGAAGCUACUAAUCCUGGAUACCUCAUUUAUUAAUUUUUGGCUGUGAAUCUCAGCCCCUCCACAUCCCCUGAUUUCUAGACCAGCCAGAGGUGGCAGCUGCCACCAGGACAGAGCUGUCUCGCUCCCUGCUGUUGCUGGAGGGCCAGUGGAAACCUUUUCCUCCCAGCUAGCUCAACUUCUCCAUCAAUUAGCGGGUCUCAAGCAUGCGUUUCUGCCCCGUUGCCUGUUACCUGCUAGUGCCAUUGAAAGGAAAGGGUGUUUGUGGAUGCUUUGAAGAUGUAAAGCUCUAUAGGAUUGCUGCACAUUGUUGUGGAUUGUUUGGGUAUGUCCUGGAUAUGAAUCACCUUGCUCUUUCUGACCUACUGUCCUAAUUGAGCUUCGUGUAUUCUUCAGGCACUCGUCACUGUCUGUGCCCUACCUUUUGGCAAUAAAGCAGCAGCCUGGAGCUGCAGGUGUUUGCCUCGCUCCCUCAUUCCGUGACAAAUUAAAGGAGAUUUAGUAAAUGGAUGUGCUGAAUCAUGGAUCCUCCCCAAACAUGACCCUGGAUCGCUGCCCCUUUGUUUUGCUGUUGUCCGCAGUGGGGUCAGGCUAGGACAUGGCUUUCCCGUCGGCUAUGUGAAUUUUACUGCUCUGCAUGUUCCAGUAAAAUCAAAGGCCUGAGAAAGGGAUUCUGUGGAAGCUUUUUUUUGUCAGUGACUUUACCCUCGUUAGUUAUCAUUUAGAGCACGAGCCUUGGGGCAGCACCAGCACAGUUCCUCCUGUCUGAUUAUGGGGGCACUACUGCUUCUUCAAAUACCUCCACAGCCAGGUGGAUCAGAAACACAAGCUGCUUCUGCCCUGCUCCUCCAGCACGUUUAGGCUGGAGACCCUGACCCUGACCCUGACCACCUUAUAUUUUCUAUAUAUUGAAGGGGGAAACCACCUGCCUGCUCCGAGUCCCCUGUAGUGAGACACAGCCUGGUCACAACCCUUUGAAGAACUUCUACCCCAGGGCUUAUCUUCACUGCAAAAUUAGCUCAGGCUUCCAGCCAAGGGUGCCCCAGCCUCCCAGCUCUGCCCUCUCCAAGCAGCGCAAUGGAAAAUUGCCGUCAAGCGACCCACCAGUGGCUGCAGAUUACGGUUUAAACGCUGCUCAUGCUGGAGUCGCUGGCGUGGCUGCAGUGGUACAGACGUCAGCCCGUGCUGCUCCACGCUGUGCGGCCCCUGGCCCUCUCUUGAGACCCUCUGUGAUGCUCAGCUUGCCACCUGGUGCUGUCCCGGUUCUGCUGUCCCCGCUCGGCUGACAGCUGGGCAGGCUGGUGCCAAACGCUUAGCAGGAAAGGUCUGGGUGGGAACACUGAGCUUGAGCACCUGGUGUCUUCCCUUUUGAGAAUAAGCUUCUUGUAAGAGAGGGCUGUCCAAGGUGGCCUGGGCUGGGAGCACCAACCUGGGGGAGCCAUGGGCGCUUUAUUUUUUGCUGCUUAUUUUGAAGGUUUCAGACCAUCUUUUUUUCUAUUCAAUUUUUUUUUUCAUUUUUCUCUCUUUUUUUUUUUCCUUCUGUCCUUUAAUUCUUUGUGUUUUGCAAUAAUACAGCACUGUUAUGCAUUGACCAGAAGAGAUCAGAUCCUUGAUUCUGGCCCUGUUCUAGAUCAGUUCUGAAUUUCGCAUUCUCUGUGCAUAUUUGUAGUGCUUUUUACAAUGAAUUUUACUCUUUUACUUUGGGGGCUCAUUGGUAUCAGGAAACACAAUUCAACUGAGCCUCUUUUUACUCUGUGGAAGGAAGUCCUUGAAGAAAGGUUGAUCCAACUUAGAAGAGAACUUGUAGGUAGUAGACGCCCAGUCUCUGGGUGUGAAGGAACAAUCACGUUAUUAUCUUUCUGUCAUUGGAGAUAAACGAGAUCUAUUCUUCUGGGGGUGAGGCAGGCGUGAUUGAUCACUAGAUAAUAAAAGCUACAGUUCCUGGUUAAGGAACAAGGUUGGGCUGUGCAGCUACGAGUGCUUGUGGAGAACCUAAGCUUGAGGUGUGUGCCCAAGUUGCUCUUCAUUUCUGAGCUAUUACCUGAUACUAAACAAGUCCUAUAUAUAAAGUAAAAUUUCAACCUUUUCCAUAUGUGAUUUUCAGUGGCUACUAACGAAAUACCUCAGUCAGCAAGAAAGAUGUUCGUAGUUAGAUGAAAGCUCAACCAAACCCUGCCACCUCUGUCACUGCUUCCACUCCUGGGUCCUUCAGCUCAGGGCUGGUGUCACCUGCAAAUCCCCCCAGGUGGGAUUGCUGGCUAAUGAUUGUCAUUAUUCCAAUUAUUUAGGUCGUGGCCCUUCUUCCACUCCCUCUUUUCACUACCUGAGUGGUGGAGUCAGAAGAGAGAUGACCCAAAGGCACAGGUUCUGGUUUGUCGCAUUGCACGGAGCUCUUAGCCUAGGGUUCACUGCUGGCAUUGCAUCGCUCCGUUCUGGAAUUGCUUCUUAAAAUCAUUCUUCUUUCACUUCAGUGCAGAAACCAAAAAACAUUCAGUUUUUAAGGAUAAUCACACACUGAUACCUCCAAAAGAAGUUUUGCAGUAUGAAGCCGUUUUCAAGAAAAUAGAUCUCCAUUUAAAAUACUUGGGGCUGUGUUUGCUUGCUUGUGUUUGCAGGUGCUUUUAUUCAAAUGGUCUGCUAUGAGCAUGUAUGUAAAGCGAUAUAGCCCCAGAUUUGACUGAAAUGAAGUUGUGAGAAUUUAUGGAAAAACACUUUGUGAGAAAACAUUCACAGCUAUGUAGCCUUAGAAACUAGCGAGGUAAGAAUUGGAGUUUGAAGAGCGGCUAUGAAUAUGGAGAGCCAGGAGAUGGAAAAAUCACAAGGGAGGAACUGCACCAGCCGGGAUGAAAGAUGAGAGCUUCAGCAGAAAACUGAUGAAGGUAACGGAGCAGGGGAAAGAUGUCCUGUGACAGCGGAUGGAUUUGUAGCAUCCAGCCCCAAUUGGAGCAUGAAACAUAAGCUUGCUUGGAGUGGAGUGGAGAAAAAUCAAUCAGAAGAUUUCACAUGUGAUUGUGAGACUAUAGAGAGCUCCAAGACACCCUGGAACACUGCACCAUUUACCCUAAUCGGAGGGUGAGUCAGCACUCAAUUAUGUGCAGGCAAUUUUAUAUUCAGUUUUCUAUGCGUUGGCGACAAAGCAAUUUAGAUAAUAUGGUCGUAUAGCAGAAUCACCUUCUUUACAAGUCUGAGUUACAUUAGCUGAAAUAAAAAGUAUGUCACUGCUCAUUUUCCAGUGUAUAAGAUAAUCAUCAUGUGGGAUCAAGAAGAAAUCUCUUCUUCCCAUUGCCAAAGCAACAUAAUUGUGCAACACGGCUGGUUUCUCUCUUCUGAAGUAUAAGUUAUGGCUACUCUUGAGACUAGACAGAUCCACCACUGUGUGCAGAUACUGUCUGAAGUCUUGCACAGUAAUAAGAGCACAAGAUAUAAUAACUCCUACUGGUUUGUGUACUCAAGGGAAAACAUUCUGUUGUAAUGAAGUGGGUUGUGUAUCUGAAGGUAUGUAAGGACUGCUCACUCUGUCCAUCACAUGUCAAAGACCUGUGAUCUGGGAAAUAGAAGGAUCUGUGUUCUCUCCCUGCCACAGCCUUAUUGGAAUAUAAAGUCACAAGAGUAAUGUCCUGGGAGAUUUCAAGAUGUGGCUCCAGGUUUGCACAAUGUUUUGCCAUCGGUUCAGGAAAGAUGUUAUGCUAAUCUGACCUUUUUCUUCAUCUUUAAGGCACGUAUUAUAUUAUUUUGGAGCAAUUAUACCCUUAGGAACCAAAGGUUGGAGAGGAAAUGAGUGAUUUACUAUGCUUUUAAUCAAUGAUUUAAACUGGAUGAUUGUUUCAAUGCCACUGACGGAUUCAAAUCUUCUGUGAGCUACUCCUUACAUGAACUAGAUGCAUGAACUGCAUUAAAAAGCACUUUGUGCAUCCCAGGAGCAAACACUGAGCUGGAAUCUUCAUUCCAUUUCAUUGUUCCUGUUGCCAUAACUCCAUAGACUUUAAUGUGAGUUGAGCAAGGGUCAGAUAUGGAGCAUAAUGAACUCAAAGAGAGAUUUCCAUUGGAUUUUUUUUCCUGUGGAUAAUACCCUUAAAGACUCAGGGUCAAACAUUCAUCUGUGAUAAGCUGGCAUCUCUGUCCAGCUAGCACUCUGUGUCUGUACUGUACUUCAGGCACCUGAAAUUUCCUUUCCCUUCCCGUCCCCCACUCAUUCUGUUCUUCAGAUUGGUUUUCUGAGCUCAGCAUUCUCUAAGUACGAGUGCAUUUUAGCUGUCAUGGUCAAGUUUACCCACAAAUGCUUUUUUUGUCUAUUAAUUUAUUGGACAGAAAAGACCAAUGAUGCAUAGAGAAGUAUCUAAACUUAUGUUCAGAUCUUGAAAGCAUUCUGCUUAGAAACCAGCAUGUGUUCAGAGCAACUCGGUUUCUGUUCCUCUCAAAAGAAGCACCCUCGGUUUUUUUAAUUAAUGUGAAGAUAGCUUCCAGUGAUCUUCCUCUAUCCAUCACGAUAUUGACAUUUGAACUCCUUUUACUUUGAAGUCACCAUCACUCAGAUUGUCACAGCUUGACAGCACAGUCGGUUAACUCGGCACUUCCCAAAUUAAUGCUCUCAGAUUCAGUAUCAAUACAUGGGACAUUUGGCUUUCUUACAUGUGAAAUUCUGCAUGUCAUCUAGUAGUCAGUGACUAAACUCUCAAAGUCCUGGGCCGUGCAUAAAGCACUGUUACUGACAGCAGCAGGAUUGUGGAAAGGUAUCAGAAACCCAGUUAGGGGCCACAUGCUCCAGAAGCACAGAUUGUUUCAUUUAUGCUUAUCACAUAAAAGCUUAAAAUACGGAUGGUUUCCUACAGAGAUGUAUUAUUCUUGGUUGCCCUAAAUUCGUAGUCAAGAACCAGGUGAGAUCUUCUAGCGAUGUUAAAAUUAUAUCUUGUUCUGGACUUUAUGGCAAUAACCGAGGCAUCAGCACUUAGGGAAAGGCGACUUUCUCCGGAGCAAUAUUACAAGAGCAGUUCUUUCACGGACCAGUAAGCACUGCCUCUCUCAAAGAUGACUUGGGAUAGGAGACAAAAAUAGCUGUAGGUCUUUUUUGCUUCCUUAUUGCUUCCAUAUGACAAAUGGAUCAUGUGAGAAACGUUGGCACAAAAAGCAAUCCUUCCCUCCCUUCUCAUUCAAGAUGUGCCUACCUUGUUUUCUUGAAAGGCUAGAGAACAGUAAGGGGUUGAUCACAUCCUUGCUAAGCCAAAAAAAUAAAAAAAUAAAAAUCAUGGCUGGGAGAGCCAAAGGGUGAGAAUUUGGAGCAAUGGUUUAGCAGGUACAUCAGGGCUAGCAAGGAGGGGUUGUAUUGGCUGGAUCUUGGCCUCAAUAAAUACGAGUUUCCAUUUAUUUCCAAGAGUCUCCCCUGGGCAUUCUCCGUCAUAUUUUUUUACCCUAAGAGAUGAUAAUCUGAAUGUCAAAAAUUAGCAGAGCCUCUGUGUUUAUCAGGCAUUUGUGGUAAACAGACGCCGCUCCGUUACUCCUCCUUGCAGUUUAAGCAGCAAUUUCCUUAUUUUCAUAUAUUUAAUAUAGUCCUCAGUUUUUCAUAUUUAGCAUCUCCUUUUUCACAUUUAGUAUCUCUCAGUUAAAAAGAUUGACUAGUUUUCCUGGAUUUAGCCUCUCAAGAAAUAGAUUUAGCAGUUUUCCUGGAAAAUGCUAAGUAAGCAAAAUUCUUCACUAAGGUCUUAAUGAAACCUGCCUUCAGAAGAGACUUUUCAAGCUGCUUUCAUCUGUCAGAAAUUAAAAGGGCAAAAAAUCAGUCUUUUAUCUCCAGUGUUUACUUUUGAUCCCCAUAAAAUAAUUACGGUGAGCUGUCCUUACAGCUUAACGAGCAGCUUUCUGUCUCUAAAACUGUUCAUGAAUGGCUGGUGGUAACAAGCAGGGUGAAGCAUCUGAAGCUGAUUAACUGAGAAGUUAGAUGGCUAUCAGCUAGGACAGACCUAACCUCAUAAUUUUAUCUGUUAGCAGAUACUGCAGAACUGAUUGACAUUAAACUGGCAGCAUCCCAACGCAAAGGUGAACUCGAGGAAAAAAUUAUAUCGGAUUUUAAUAAAACUUUCCUCAAAGGUCAACCUCUCUAAAGUAUAAAAUCAAUUUUUCUUCCUUCCUUCUUUUUAAGGCUGUUUUCUCAUAACUACAGAAAAUUCUGAUACUCAUGAAAUAUUUCCCAUUGCCUUUUUCCCAUAACGGUAUCUAUCUGCUUGUGAUCAUUCUUUUUCUCAGUAUUUUUAUUUAGAUUCACUAUUCCCCAUUUCUCUCCUUGUACCUGGCCUUAUCAGGAUCUGUUCCCCUUUCUCAAAACAUCACUUAUCAGGUCCCUGGUCAACAACAGAUCUUGCCUCAUAGCAGCUUCAGGAUGCAAAACCUUCUCACUUCAUCCUUGAAGAUGGCUGAAACUUUGGGAAGAGCAAAGUUUUGGUGCAAAGUCUUUAUUAAAGCAUGCCAGGCUUCUCCUGGUUUUAUUUUUUCCUUCUUACCCAGCAGCUGCCUUCUGUGUCUUGCUCGGGACUCCAGUAACUUUUGCCAAGUAAGCCACACGAGCACCAUGCCACUUAGGAAAGAAGGAUGUCCUUGUGAGCCCCAUGCUUCUGCGGGUCACUCCCCUUUGCUUUUAUUGGCCCAGAAAAAUAAUAUGUGUUGUCUUUUUCUUUUCUAUUUCAAGCACAAUCACUAAUAUCUAAGAAAGUACCAGCUUAGAAGUAUUUUAUUUUUUAGAGUGUGCUGACUGCACAGAGCGGGAGGUACCCAAAUUUUGUUUCUUCAUCCUUGGCAUAUAAGUUCCAGCGCUUGAUAGCCAAAUUUUUAAAGUCUUGGCAUACCAGAGCCAGUAACAUCACAUACUUUAAAAGCAAAGGAACUUCUGGUGUGCAUGUAUGGCUGUGCCCACCCAUUUGGGCUGCAUUGGGCUGCAUCUCUUGAGAAUUGGUACCUGGGUCUUUGGGGCUUCCAGGAGUGCUCCAGUGGGGUGCAACAUCCCUCGGUGAUGCUGGGUGAUGUCUCGCAGUCCCAGCUGUUACCAUAGCACUUCCCUCCUUCCACUUCAAAGGCUCUUUCUCCCCCUCUGUGGUAGGAUUAAUGAUACAAGACCAACAGACAUUUAUCUAACCGACAGGUUUGCCUCCCGCCAGCUCUUCCCUGCGUGCUCCCGCAGCCCCAGCACACAAAUCCCAUUUCUCCAAAUUCCGCAGCCCCCUGCACUACGGAACAAGUCCGGGCACAGCUGGGGCUGCUGCGGAGCCAGGCAGCAGUUUGCAGCAAGUCCUUGUUUGCCCUGGGGUAGGAGUCUGCAAACAGGAGUUAUCAAACACACAUCCUGCCAUGUGCACGCCACUUGGCACCGCUGCUCUUGGUCGGAGGUGACUGUUUGCCCCCUUUGCGUUAUUAGAGAGGAGCUUGGGGCUCCCCUAGGGGAUGUCCUGGCUUGGCUGCUGCUGGGCCAAUGCCCCUCGAACUUCUCGGUUUUGGCUGAUUUCUCCUCUUCUUGGUUAUUCUUUACUCCAUCAAAACAACGUUACAGCCAAGCUAAUUUUGUGGUUCCCAACUGAAAAAUCCUUGUGGUCAGAGAGCUCCCAAAGCCGGGUAACGUCUGCUAUGCAUGUGCACGCACUGUAACGUGUAUUUAUGGAGAAAUUACUGCUUAGGCUGGUGAAGUGAAAUGUAAGAGAAUCCACGCUACAUGUCAAAAUUGUUAAAAAUAGAUACAUGCUGGAGAUCAGCCCAGAUUGGGUGCUCACACUGGUAGACGACGGAGAAAAGGGACAUGCAUUACAAUCAGCAAAUGGAUAAAACUGGGCUAGAUAGGGAUGAAUACAAGGCGAAAAGCUUUGCACUUUUUAAAAACCAAAGCCCAGGCUCUCAUGCUAAAAGAAGAAUUGUAUUCCUAAAUAGGAAAAUGUUAAAAAAGAGACUGGACUAUAUUCAGGAACAUACGUUACAAAGCUUUAUGUCUGUUGUGGGGAUACACAUCAUAUAUUCUGUAGGGGUCAACAACAUUCAUUUAGUAGAGAGGGUGAAAAGGACCAAGUCGGGCAAUGAGUAUUCUGAGCCUUGCUUGCUGCUUCUCUUAAAUUCUUGUCCAUGUUGACAAAGGUUAUUAAACUUUUUUCCUGGAUAUUUUAAGCUCCUUUAAAUAACUUGUAAGCUUAAAAAAACCUGUAUGUCAGUUUUAGAUAAUGUAUUGAUCGAUAUAUAACUCUGGUUUAGAUUUUAGAAGAUGCUAUCAGUUGUUUCAGUAACCUUGGCUUUCUAGUUUAGACUGCAGGGACCUAGACUGUCAAAAUUGUAGCUCAGUUCCUGGUGCUGUGGUAAGACAGCCAUUGCAGGAUAUGGCUGUGUGCAAAGAUGAGAUCAAAACCCUUCUAGUUUAAUAUAGGUUAAGAGAGUCUCCGUACUUCCAAUCUCGCUCUUGCCUCCUUGCAAUGCUCUGAAAUACUUCCGCUGAUUUGUUUUGCUGAGGAGAGAAAUUGUCAAGCUUUGCCAGGAAAAAAUAGGAAUAUAUAUAUAUAUAUGUUUAAGAUUAAUCUCGCAGUUGAAUAGUAUCGGCAACCUGAGUCAAAUUUUGCUGCUGGAGUUGUGAUUUUGUAUCGAUUGCGUUUUUAAAGAUUUUUCUAGCAGGGAGAGGCAGACAUUUUGUUAUUGCUGUGUAUUAAUCAAAAGGGCUGAAAAAUAUUGCAGGCCUUACUCUCACAUCUUUGUGGACCAAAAAGACAGUUGCAUUUGUAAGAAUACAAGUCAUCCUGGAUUAGACUCAGCUUUGAAGUGCUAGUAAUUUAACACUACUACAGUUUGGCACCUACUUUUGAUGUGUGCUGUGUGCAAGACAAUGAUCACUGCAGUUUAAAAGUCAGAAUUUGCUUUUUCAGACCAAUGAGGAUAAACCGAAACUUUCCUUGGACCCCUAGAAGGGGACUUGAUGCUUGCUGACCUACAGAGCUUAUUUUUAGGGCAAUUACCUGUCUUCAACAUUUAACAUAAUAUUUUUUCAAUAGCACGCAAUUUUAGCAUUGUCUGCAUUAGAAGCUUCUUUUUUACAUAAGCCAUAGAAAAGUACCUCACCAUUUUUGCAGCUUUACGGGAUCUCACAGCAGUCUUGAUUACACACGUAUUAGCUUUGUAUUUUUAAUUCAGCUCCUAAUGUUUCUCAUGCAGCGUUAAAGCCAUUCAACAGAAAGUUUCUGCUUUUACAACCGCUCAUUUUGUAGCAACUCAGCAGCACAGUUAGUCGGUUGGUAAAGCUACUUACUAAAGCUCCCCUGAAAACAUCGAUCUCCCAGGUUGUGCAGUUUUUCCCACUUCAAAGGGAAAUCCGCUGCUGCUGCCUCAGUUAGCGCAGAACUGAGCAAAGUAACAUGUUGAACUGUUUACGGAAACAGCUGAUGUUAUCUGCCAAUUUGUUCAAUGUUUGCCGUACCGGUGAGAUUUCUAAUUUUAUAAAAAAAAAAUGCAUUUGUCUUUUCAACCGUUCCGGUAGUUAUUUCACCCUCUUAACUUUUGUGGUAGAAGUAAUGACAACUUGUUCAGAGCGAGAAAUCCCAGACUCUCUGGACCUGGCUCCCUGGCUGUGCUGCAGCGACUCUCGCUCGUCUCCACUUCGCCAGGGCUUGGAAUUUUCUCAUCACCACACCAGUUUCCAAUUUGGGGAGCAUGGCGAUGACAUAUGGCCCCAUUCGCUUUGAAGGUGCAGGCAACCCUUCACAGCGAAGAAAAGCGUGAAGUAUUGGGACAAAAAAAAAAAAGCGACUAUUUUGAGCCUGAAUUAUGAUUUUCACAUUGUUUGCAAUACUGCAAUCAAUCCUAGUAACACCCAUAUUGAUGCAUCUGAAUAAAAACUAUGUUUUGCAACGGG
Molecule: non-coding RNA, 16777 nt
Organism: Anas platyrhynchos (mallard)
Lineage: Eukaryota; Metazoa; Chordata; Aves; Anseriformes; Anatidae
Source: RefSeq, a predicted model, not a curated record